RNAcentral lists this long non-coding RNA (4719 nucleotides) under Canis lupus familiaris (dog). Its description in RNAcentral is "lncRNA (ENSCAFG00000051059.1)". The record is from RNAcentral. Lineage: Eukaryota; Metazoa; Chordata; Mammalia; Carnivora; Canidae.
UUUUUUUUUUUUUUUUUUUUUGCAAUUGCACAUUUUAAUCAGGUGUAAUUACAUAAGGCACAGGUCAAACUAUGUACAGAUUUGAACUGCACAGACUGAACACAUUCACUUUGGUGAGCUUUGGCCAGCAUAUACAGCUGUAUCACCAACACCCCCACCAGAAGACACUUGCACCACUCUAGAAAGUCCUGUGUCAUUCUUCCGUCAGAGGCCUGGAGGCAGUCUUGUAGAUAAAGGGUCAGAAGAGGCCUCUCUGAUGAGGUGGUCUCUGAGAUUCUGAGGAGGAGAAGGCAGUCACCACAGGAAAGCCAGGUUGGACUGUGUCCUGAUGUCGGGCAACCAAGGGGGCCAUGUGUCUGAUGGGGAGCAGAUGAGCGGAAGCGAGAGCAAGGAGACUACAUAAGGCCCGUGGCUAUUGAUGCACCUGGCCUUCAGUCCACCUGAGAGGUUGGUGCCUCCUAGGGUGUCUGCGUGGAGCUGCUGUGAGACCACGGGGCUGCCGCAUCCUCACUGCCACAGCCACCCUCAGCAUCUUCCUCAGCCAGCCGCCUCCUUGGUGAAGGCCUCCUGCAAAAUUUUAAAUGCUCUUUUAUUUGGGCUGUUACUAAGUGUGUAGAGUUAAUUAUAGCAAUGUCUAUCAGAUGUCAUUCUGUCAAAUAGAUUCUGGGACACAGUGAAAAGCAAGGUAUAGCGGUAAGGGGCACAGUGUGGUGCCAAGUGAUCCUAAAGAGAGCCCAGAAACGGCACUGAACAAUUGGAUCUCCCCACAUAGUAGUGGACUGCUGAGGUUAGUCAAGUGAGAAGAUAGUAGUAGCUGUGGGGCUUCUUAGGGCAGCCAGACAUGGCCCUUGGUCUUCCAAACGUUUUAUUUCCUUCAAGUGCACUACCCAAACUUCUAAUGUUCAAACAUGUGCAGAAGACACAAAAAGGUUGAGAACCACCAUUUACGCUGUUUUUUCUCUGCUUGGCUAAAUGGUAAUUGCCAUCAACAUACACCAAAUCAUUUUUUGGGUAAAAAAAACAAAUACUCUUGAAUUGACUCCAGUUAAGUCUUGCUUAUCUUUUAGUAGAAGGUCAUGCUUUGCUGGGUCAUGAACACAGGUGGUCUAGAUCAUACUUUUUGCUUUCUUUCUCCACAGGCAGAGGAGGAACAAUCUGUGUUGCUACGAUGCCACUGAGACCAUAAAAGGGCUGUCCUCCUUUCUCCCUAUCACAAAAAGAUCCUUUUCCACUUAAUUCUUUUUAAGCACCGCACCACCCCCUUCUUCCUUGUCCACUAGUCAAAGAGUUUAAAUUGAUUUACUUGGAGCCAGGUGUGAUUUUAUUUGACCAGAGUUACAGGACUCUUGCCUAUUUUAAGCACAGUCUUAAAGUAAUGGUUCCCAUAUGGCCCAUAUGAUCACAUAGAAUGUUUGUUAAAAAUGUAGAUAUCUUGGGUUUGAUUCUGAUUAGGUAAACCUGGGGUUAAACCCAGAAAUUUGCAUCCUGAGUUACUAAAUUGUCCUAUGUUGAGUCAGAAAUGCCAACCUACUAGCUUUAGUUUAUAAACUGCCUCAUACACUAUUUCCAAAAUGUCCUCCUUGAGUGUUUAUGUAUUCCAUAACACAAUAAAGUUAGAAAGGAGGACACAAGCUUUAAUUUUUUUGUCUUUACAUUUCACUACAUGGCUUUUCUGAUGCCAAUUUUUAUUCAUGUCUUCCUCUAGGCACAGUGUGCAAUAAUGGUUAUUUUGUCACUGCUUAAUGAGAAGAUGGUAGAGAAGAUUCUAGAGAGAUGAGCUAGUUCAGAGCAGGAAAAGAAGAAAAGGCAAUAUUCAGUUUCCCAACCUUGCCGUUUCUUGAUCUUUGGUCCUAGGGUCCUUCUCUGAGUCUUCAAAUCAAAUCCUUUUUAUAGCAUAUUGAAGAAUUUUGAACAUACCUACCAUGGAACUCAAGGCAGAUUUUGGCAAUGGGUAAGGGCAACUGGUGAUAGCAACCUGAACAUCAUCUUGCAUGUUCACACAUCACUAUUAAUUUCACUUAAAGCUAAAGGAAUGCACAUAACUGUCAGCUAAAAUUGCCUACCUGAGUCUAGAAUAUUCCCCUUUCAUCAAAAGGCUAUGUGCCCAUAGGUAACAGCGGUCAAAGGUUUUGAAAAUACUUCUCUCCCAGAAGUUUUCUCUGGUUAAUGGAGAGCAGUUAGGUUUCUAUAUUUUACUUUGGUCUCUCUUCUUGAGUAUCUAGCAGUAAAUUCUAUCUACUGUCACGAUUCUAAUUCCUAACUGAAAUAGUACAAUAUAUGAGUGCACAAAGCAAGAAACAUGAAGUGUAUGAACCGAGAGGCAGAAGUACAUCGGAACUAGAGAUGUCUCAACAUGGCUCAGCAAGUCCAAAAGAAAACAUAAAUCAAAUGUCAGAGAUAGCAAAGACACAGGAACCAAGUAUGGAAACAGAAAUAAAAUCAUAUGGGUAUAUGGGAAUAUAAAAAGUUAACAAAGGCAAAAGUAUAGGGAAGCUCAACACUAGGAUACAGCUCAGGGAAGUGACCAGUAAACAGAAGGUCUGCCUGCAUGGGAGGCUAAGAUAGUCCUGUCUCAAAACACAUGGAGAGCAUCAGAUGCAAAAAGAAUCCAUUCUGGACAGUCAGCUGUCCUGGUCCUGUCCACUGUACAAGAAACUGUCCAAGGCUUCUUAGCCAUAUAUUUUGUUGAGAAUAAUCUUAGCAUUUAGCCAGCGUGGAAGGAUGGUUAAUGGGAAGGAAGAAAUAUGAUUGGGGAAUAUGAACAAAUCUUAUCUUUUUUUAAAGAUAAGAUUGGAGUAUAAUGGACAAGACACAAUGCUACAUUGGUUUCAGGUGUACAGAAUAAUGAUUAAAGAACUCUAUUCAUUAUGCUAUGCUCACUGCAAGUGUAUGUAGCCACCCUCUGUCACCAUACAAUGCUAUUACCACACAGAUAACUAUAUUCCCAUCCUGUACCUUUCAUCUCUGUGACUUACUCAUUCUAUAACUGGAAGCCUAUCCAUCCUACUACCCUUCCAAUGGUAUCCUGAAAGCCAGUACUUUUAAAUUCAAAUGUGUAUGAGAAGAUGAGAAGUAAUGUGGAAAUGGGAAACAAAAAUUUAAAGGAUUUCGGUCAGGCAUCGUAUCCUAGAAGCCAUCCUGGAAUUACCUGCCUGGGUUAGAAGCCCUUUCCUGCUCUCACAGCAUCCUUCUCUUUCACCUACUAUGGCAUUGAACACACCCUGUGGUGAUUGGCCAUCUCCCCACUGAGGCUCCAACCACCUUGAAGCAAGGAUCAUGGCUUAUUUAUCUUUAUAUACUCUCUAGAUAGCAGCUUUGCAAUAAGGGCUUAUCGAAUGUCAAUAAUUACCUUUGUCUUCUCAAACCACAAGUUCCAUAUAGACAGGAAACACAUUUUUACAACACUUCGUAGGCACAAUAUUCUAGUUGAUAAAGAUGAACAUUUCAUCUGCUAGUCUUUAUUCUCUUACAACCCAUUCAAGUAAUAUCCCAUGAACAGAUACUCUACAGGCAUGCCAAGAAUCUCCUCAUACUGACGCAAGAAGCACAUUCCUUAGACUAUUUUGUAGAAAGUGCUUGGCUGAGUUAGAGGCUAACUAUCAAGAGUUUGAAUCUUUUGAACACAUCCCAAGUUACUUUAUUUUCUAUAAGGGCCCUUGCUCAUUUUUCUAAGAGGCAAUAUCACAUAGCGAUUAAGAACACAGAUUCAAGAGCCAGACUGCCACAGUUGUAUUCCAGGUUUUCCACUUAUUAUCUGGUGACCUAAGGCAAGUUACAUAACCUCUCUGUGCCUCAACUUUAUCAUCUGUGAAUGGGGAUGAAGGUUGUUGAGAGAAUUAACUACAACUACUGGCUGUUUUUUUAAGGUACUUAAAGCAGUGCCUGAUGCAUUGUAUGCCAUAUAAAUUGUACAAAAAUUAGCUACAGUUAUAUUUUGCUUUGCCAGAUACCAUUGAUUAUUUUAAUUAAUUAUAAUAUCCACCCAAAUAUAUUUGGGUCCUUUCUCAAAACAUUACUCCUCUCCAUAUUUGAUAUUUUGCCCCCGUUUUGGUAAAAGGUGUUUUAUUAUAAAAACAGGCAAAUAUGCUAAAAAUUGAGAAGAAAUUAUGCAUAAAUUAUCACUUCAUUUUUUCAUAAAAACAAGCUAUCCUGACUUCCUGAAUUCAUCGUAUAAAAUUUCAAGAAUUUAUCUGAAGAAAGUAAGAGGUAUUGAGGAAAGUAUUUAUCUUUUGUCUUAAUCGUUUCCUAAGAAGUUGCUAAACCUGAGGUCGUUAUUGUUUAUACAGGAAAAGAAUGUCUUAUACUUGUGGAAAAUUUUUAAAACACUGCUAACAUGCUUUCUGAUCAUCCCUACUUCCUGUGGUGGGGUUUAAAGACCACACCAACUUUUGUAACUGCUGAGAUUUACAGAGUGAAGCCUCAUUUGAUAAUCUUGCAAAAAUGGAUAGGCAGUACUUCUCUUCCUUUCUAAAUGCCACACAUGCCAGCUUUUACAAAUGUUAAAAGAAUUUCCAGCCAGCCCCAAGCUGGUUCCAAGCAGGUGCACACGCUAUUUCUCAGCUCCAUCUCCAGGGUAGCCUAGGAAAUCCCUCUUUCCUCGUGAUCUCCCCUAGAUCCAGUUAAUCAGCCCUGGAAUCUGUUUUCCUGGAGAAUGAAAAUGUUUUAUUUUUAGCUGCCUAGGUUCUGACCAGUAUCUCUGAUAUCUAAAUAAUGAAAAGU